RNAcentral lists this ribosomal RNA (253 nucleotides) under uncultured bacterium. RNAcentral describes it as "partial 16S ribosomal RNA". It matches the Rfam family "Bacterial small subunit ribosomal RNA", at positions 524 to 776 of the family's 1533-position model. The record is from RNAcentral.
UACGGAGGAUCCUAGCGUUGUCCGGAUUUAUUGGGCUUAAAGGGUGCGUAGGCGGACCAUUAAGUCAGAGGUGAAAGUUUGCAGCUUAACUGUAAAAUUGCCUUUGAAACUGGCGGUCUUGAGUAUAGUUGAGGUGGGCGGAAUGUGUCAUGUAGCGGUGAAAUGCUUAGAUAUGAUACAGAACACCAAUUGCGAAGGCAGCUCACUAAACUAAAACUGACGCUGAGGCACGAAAGCGUGGGGAGCAAACAGG